Molecule: ribosomal RNA, 122 nt
Filed under: Petromyzon marinus (sea lamprey)
Lineage: Eukaryota; Metazoa; Chordata; Hyperoartia; Petromyzontiformes; Petromyzontidae
Source: RNAcentral
GUCUACUACCGAAUCACCAUGAAUGCACCAGAUAUCAUUGGAUUUCAGAAGCUUAACAGAGUUGAGCCUGGUAAACACGGAGACGGGUGACCACCACCAGGCCUUGCCAGGUGCUGUAGGCA